UACAGAGGUGGCAAGCGUUGUUCGGAAUUACUGGGCGUAAAGGGCGCGUAGGCGGCCUUCUAAGUCAGACGUGAAAUCCCCCGGCUUAACUGAGGAACUGCACGGGAUACUGCGAGACUUGAGUUCGGGAGAGGGAAGCGGAAUUCCGGGUGUAGCGGUGAAAUGCGUAGAUAUCCGGAGGAACACCGGUGGCGAAGGCGGCUUCCUGGACCGAUUACUGACGCUGAGGCGCGAAAGCUAGGGGAGCAAACGGG
Molecule: ribosomal RNA, 254 nt
Filed under: uncultured bacterium
Lineage: Bacteria
Description: partial 16S ribosomal RNA
Rfam family: Bacterial small subunit ribosomal RNA
Source: RNAcentral